AUACGUAGGGGGCGAGCGUUGUCCGGAAUUACUGGGCGUAAAGGGCGUGUAGGCGGCCUGUUAAGUCAGGCGUGAAAACCCCGGGCUUAACCUGGGGACUGCGUUUGAAACUGGCGGGCUUGAGGGCAGGAGAGGAAAGUGGAAUUCCCGGUGUAGCGGUGAUAUGCGUAGAUACCGGGAGGAACACCAAUGGCGAAGGCGGCUUUCUGGACUGCACCCGACGCUGAGGCGCGAAAGCCAGGGGAGCGAACGGGAUUAGAUACCCCGGUAGUCCUGGCCGUAAACGAUGGGUACUAGGUGUGGGAGGUAUCGACUCCUUCCGUGCCGGAGUUAACACAAUAAGUAUCCCACCUGGGGAGUACGGCCGCAAGGUUGAA
Molecule: ribosomal RNA, 377 nt
Filed under: uncultured bacterium
Lineage: Bacteria
Description: bacterial SSU rRNA
Rfam family: Bacterial small subunit ribosomal RNA
Source: RNAcentral